RNAcentral lists this antisense RNA (69 nucleotides) under Kutzneria sp. 744. RNAcentral describes it as "ASpks TB sRNA". It matches the Rfam family "ASpks TB sRNA". The record is from Rfam by way of RNAcentral. Lineage: Bacteria; Bacillati; Actinomycetota; Actinomycetes; Pseudonocardiales; Pseudonocardiaceae.
CUUCAAGGAGCCCAACCACACCGGCCCCGGCCGGUUUUGGCCGUAUGUGGCCAAAAUCGCCUGGGCCUC